UUCAAACAAAAAAAUGGGAAACAAAUGGUUUUUGGUUCAGAGUCAAUGUUACCAUCAUGUUUACUGUGUUGGUUUGUUUUUCUUUUGUUGUUCGCUCGGUUUCUCUUUUUUUCUAUUUUUCAACCGAGUGCCCUUCUUUGGCUCGUGCUUCUUUUGAACCUUCGAGUUUAUUUAUAUAUAUUUUUUCUUUUUCUCUCGAUAAUUUUCUACUUUACUUUUUUUCUUUGUUUUCGCACGUUCUUGGGCUUUUGGAACUCUU
RNAcentral lists this long non-coding RNA (259 nucleotides) under Lathyrus oleraceus (garden pea). RNAcentral's name for it is "Pisum sativum (pea) long non-coding RNA (PSAT_LNC040119)". Lineage: Eukaryota; Viridiplantae; Streptophyta; Magnoliopsida; Fabales; Fabaceae. The record is from RNAcentral.